This 385-nucleotide ribosomal RNA is filed under the name uncultured Erysipelothrix sp. RNAcentral's name for it is "bacterial SSU rRNA". It matches the Rfam family "Bacterial small subunit ribosomal RNA", at positions 996 to 1382 of the family's 1533-position model. Lineage: Bacteria; Bacillati; Bacillota; Erysipelotrichia; Erysipelotrichales; Erysipelotrichaceae. The record is from RNAcentral.
UCUUGUGGAAACACGAGAGUGCCUUCGGGAGCCCGAAGACAGGUGCUGCAUGGCUGUCGUCAGCUCGUGUCGUGAGAUGUUGGGUUAAGUCCCGCAACGAGCGCAACCCUUGUCUUCAGUUACCAGCAUUGAGUUGGGGACUCUGGAGAGACUGCCGGUGACAAACCGGAGGAAGGUGGGGAUGACGUCAAAUCAUCAUGCCCCUUAUGACCUGGGCUACACACGUACUACAAUGGCGUAUACAACGGGAAGCGAAGUGGUGACACGGAGCAAAUCUCACAAAGUACGUCUCAGUUCAGAUUGAAGUCUGCAACUCGACUUCAUGAAGUCGGAAUCGUUAGUAAUCGCGGAUCAGCAUGCCGCGGUGAAUACGUUCUCGGGCCUU